Long non-coding RNA from Triticum dicoccoides, 1659 nucleotides. RefSeq lists it as uncharacterized. The record is from RefSeq and is a predicted model, not a curated record. The transcript has 3 exons. Lineage: Eukaryota; Viridiplantae; Streptophyta; Magnoliopsida; Poales; Poaceae.
GAGCAGCGCUAAAAUAGCCGCCACGAGUAAACAAACCCACGCACGCACGAUCCUCUACGAGGCUCCCACGAUCCCCUCCAUCGUGACCCCCUUCCUCCGUCCUCUCUGCCCUUUCAUGUGGUUGCUCCCCCAUUCCCACCCAUGACGCGUCCGGAGGAGAUGAUGGAGAAAGAGAGGGAGGAUGAGUAGGUACAGGGCGGCGGCGGCGGCGGCAGUGGAAAUCCGACCUUCUCAAGAGCGGGCGUCCAUGAGCACCUCAACACGCUCCAAGCCGUGUAGGUCGCCAACGUCGAGCGCCUCCGCCUCAUGGACGCCGCGCCCUAGGGCGUGAGCAAGCACGAUCCCGAUCUCCGCGUGGCACUUGUCGUCUUUCGGCAUCACGGACAUCGCGCCAAUGACGACGACACCGUGGAAGACGCCGCCUACCGGCCUACGAAGACAGGAAAUCCUUAACAUCCUAUAAGCAGCAUCAACCUGGACUGGAUGUGCAUCUCUCUAAUUUACGUGGGAAGCAGCUGCAUAUAUACCGGCUGCAGCGGCAACGCGUGAUGGAAAGGACGAGCGAGCAUACCAGGGGUAAUCACAGGCUGUGUGGACGACACGAAGGCCUAACAGCUGCGGACGCAUGCAGGAACAAAUGCGGACGACAUGAUGCUGGUCAAGGACAAGCACAUCAAGGAGCUCGUUCCCAUGAAGUACAUCAAGAAGGCAAGAACGUAUGUGUGUCCUGUUUUUUUGCUUCUUUCCCGUUGUGCUUAGUUUUAGGAUUUGGUCAUCGCGGGUUCAGCAAAUCAUCUUGCUGGUGGAGUUGGUUCCUUAGUGAUGAAUUAAUCCUCGACUGAAGCGUGGUGACUAUUGCUACAGGAUUGCCAACAGUUUUACUUCAGUAAAGUUUCCUUACAUUCAACGUAAAAUGUGUUGCUUAGUUAAAUUAGCAGCAUGUAUGUAGAGGUAUGUUUAUAUUCUAGAAAUUUGCAGCUCAUACACAUGUUUAUUUUAUUAACUGCACAAAUUUACCAGCUCAUAUUUAGUGUCCAGGUAUUGAUAUUUCAUACACCAACAUUGACCCUGCAAAAAGGUACAAAAGACCUUGUAUUUUGACUGUCAAAUACCAUAUGCAUCGUUUCACUGGCAAAUUGACCAAGCAUCUUUUAUCGUGUUCUCAUUAUUAUUUGUACACUAAUGCAAUUCUAUCUCGUUUCGGUAAGGAUCUGGAGGUGGAGGGCAGCAUCAACAGCCAUGUUCUGCUUUCAAGUAGCCACUGAGCCUUGCUAGAAGAUGGAUGUACCUCAUGCAAUUAACUGGCUCUUAGUAUCCAAAGCUAGAUAUUGUGGUUUGCAAAUAAUAAAUCUUAUAAUUUGUAGUAUUGUGUUAUCCCUGCAGGUUACACAGUUAAUUGUUUGUAGUUGCCUUGAAGAAAUAUCCAUCUUCUUGAUAGCUAUACUCAGGACCUUACCUUCUCCCCUUAUAUGUGUGAAUAGUUUGAGCAUUAUUUCACAUCAUAGCCAUUGAGAGAGGAGAAAGAAAAAAUAUGUAUGAAUUAGUUUUAUUGUUAGUGUCAUUUAUAUUAUCAGCAGUUUUUGUGAUAAUAUAAAUGCAUAGCAUGUCCAUCACCACAGAAACGAAGCAAGGAAUCAAUAUGUUUGACGCCCUCGUCGA